RNAcentral lists this ribosomal RNA (347 nucleotides) under uncultured bacterium. RNAcentral's name for it is "bacterial SSU rRNA". It matches the Rfam family "Bacterial small subunit ribosomal RNA", at positions 8 to 334 of the family's 1533-position model. The record is from RNAcentral.
AGGGUUUGAUCAUGGCUCAGGACGAACGCUGGCGGCGCGCCUAACACAUGCAAGUCGAACGGAGUUAUGAUGACAGAAGCCUUCGGGCGGAAGAUAUCAUAACUUAGUGGCGGACGGGUGAGUAACACGUGAGCAACCUGCCUAUCAGAGGGGGAUAACGUUCUGAAAAGAACGCUAAUACCGCAUAACGUGCGAGGGAGACAUCUCUCUUGUACCAAAGGAGCAAUCCGCUGAUAGAUGGGCUCGCGUCCGAUUAGGUAGUUGGUGAGGUAAUGGCUCACCAAGCCGACGAUCGGUAGCCGGACUGAGAGGUUGAACGGCCACAUUGGGACUGAGACACGGCCCAG